This 459-nucleotide ribosomal RNA is filed under the name uncultured Weissella sp. RNAcentral's name for it is "partial 16S ribosomal RNA". It matches the Rfam family "Bacterial small subunit ribosomal RNA", at positions 341 to 792 of the family's 1533-position model. Lineage: Bacteria; Bacillati; Bacillota; Bacilli; Lactobacillales; Lactobacillaceae. The record is from RNAcentral.
ACGGAAGGCAGCAGUAGGGAAUCUUCCACAAUGGGCGAAAGCCUGAUGGAGCAACGCCGCGUGUGUGAUGAAGGGUUUCGGCUCGUAAAACACUGUUGUAAGAGAAGAAUGACAUUGAGAGUAACUGUUCAAUGUGUGACGGUAUCUUACCAGAAAGGAACGGCUAAAUACGUGCCAGCAGCCGCGGUAAUACGUAUGUUCCAAGCGUUAUCCGGAUUUAUUGGGCGUAAAGCGAGCGCAGACGGUUAUUUAAGUCUGAAGUGAAAGCCCUCAGCUCAACUGAGGAAUUGCUUUUGAAACUGGAUGAUUUGAGUGCAGGAGAGGAAAGUGGAACUCCAUGUGUAGCGGUGAAAUGCGUAGAUAUAUGGAAGAACACCAGUGGCGAAGGCGGCUUGCUGGACUGUAACUGACGUUGAGGCUCGAAAGUGUGGGUAGCAAACAGGAUUAGAUACCCUGGUA